Molecule: ribosomal RNA, 446 nt
Filed under: Ectinogonia oscuripennis
Lineage: Eukaryota; Metazoa; Arthropoda; Insecta; Coleoptera; Buprestidae
Description: partial 16S ribosomal RNA
Rfam family: Bacterial large subunit ribosomal RNA
Source: RNAcentral
AAAAACAUCGCCUUUUGAAUAUAAUUUAAGGUUUGACCUGCCCAAUGAGAAUUUAAAUGGCCGCGAUAUUUUGAUCGUGCGAAGGUAGCAUAAUCAUUAGUUUUUUAAUUGGAAGCUGGAAUGAAUGGUUGGACAAGGAAAUAGCUGUCUCAAUUUUAUUUUAAUAGAAUUUUAUUUUUAAGUAAAAAAGCUUAAAUGAAAUUUAAAGACGAGAAGACCCUAUAGAGUUUGAUACUGAAUUUAUAAUUGAAUUGAGGAAUUAUUAUACUUUUAUAAUGUUUGUAUUUGGUUGGGGUGACAGAAAAAUUUAUUAAACUUUUUUUAUUUAAAAAUGUUGAUAGACAGUUUAUUGAUCCAUUAUUUGUGAUUAUAAGAUUAAAUUACCUUAGGGAUAACAGCGUAAUCUUUUUAAAGAGUUCAAAUCGAAAAUAAGGAUUGCGACCUCG